AUCUUCCACAAUGGACGCAAGUCUGAUGGAGCAACGCCGCGUGAGUGAAGAAGGGUUUCGGCUCGUAAAGCUCUGUUGUUAAAGAAGAACGUGGGUGAGAGUAACUGUUCACCCAGUGACGGUAUUUAACCAGAAAGCCACGGCUAACUACGUGCCAGCAGCCGCGGUAAUACGUAGGUGGCAAGCGUUAUCCGGAUUUAUUGGGCGUAAAGCGAGCGCAGGCGGUCUUUUAAGUCUAAUGUGAAAGCCUUCGGCUCAACCGAAGAAGUGCAUUGGAAACUGGGAGACUUGAGUGCAGAAGAGGACAGUGGAACUCCAUGUGU
RNAcentral lists this ribosomal RNA (323 nucleotides) under Pediococcus acidilactici. RNAcentral describes it as "bacterial SSU rRNA". It matches the Rfam family "Bacterial small subunit ribosomal RNA", at positions 361 to 676 of the family's 1533-position model. Lineage: Bacteria; Bacillati; Bacillota; Bacilli; Lactobacillales; Lactobacillaceae. The record is from RNAcentral.